GCUGGGUGUGGUGGCGUGCACCUGUAAUCCCAGCUACUUGGGAGGCUGAGGUAGGAGAGUCGCUUGAACCCAGGAGGUGGAGGUUGCAGUGAGCCAAGAUGGUGCCAUUGCACUCCAGCCUGGGUGACACGGCGAGACUCCAUCUCAA
Papio anubis (olive baboon) is the source of this 148-nucleotide unclassified non-coding RNA. It matches the Rfam family "Metazoan signal recognition particle RNA". From Rfam's summary of the family: The signal recognition particle (SRP) is a universally conserved ribonucleoprotein. It is involved in the co-translational targeting of proteins to membranes. The record is from Ensembl. NCBI's taxonomy places the organism in Eukaryota, Metazoa, Chordata, Mammalia, Primates, Cercopithecidae.